Molecule: ribosomal RNA, 129 nt
Filed under: Salmonella enterica subsp. enterica serovar Infantis
Lineage: Bacteria; Pseudomonadati; Pseudomonadota; Gammaproteobacteria; Enterobacterales; Enterobacteriaceae
Description: partial 16S ribosomal RNA
Rfam family: Bacterial small subunit ribosomal RNA
Source: RNAcentral
ACUUAAAUUGAAGAGUUUGAUCAUGGCUCAGAUUGAACGCUGGCGGCAGGCCUAACACAUGCAAGUCGAACGGUAGCACAGAGAGCUUGCUCUCGGGUGACGAGUGGCGGACGGGUGAGUAAUGUCUGG